GAUGAACGCUGACAGAAUGCUUAACACAUGCAAGUCGACUGGAAUUUUUCUUCGGAGCAUAGUACGGUGGCGGACGGGUGAGUAACGCGUAAAGAAUUUGCCCUUCAGACUGGGACAACUAACCGAAAGGUUAGCUAAUACCGGAUAUUAUGAGACCUUGGCAUCAAGGACUUAUGAAAGCUAUAUGCGCUGGAGGAGAACUUUGCGUCCCUUAGGUAGUUGGUAGGGUAAUGGCCUACCAAGCCGACGAUGGGUAGCCGGCCUGAGAGGGUGAACGGCCACAAGGGGACUGAGACACGGCCCUUACUCCUACGGGAGGCAGCAGUGGGGAAUAUUGGACAAUGGACCAAAAGUCUGAUCCAGCAAUUCUGUGUGCACGAUGAAGGUCUUCGGAUUGUAAAGUGCUUUCAGGUGGGAAGAAGAAAGUGACGGUACCACCAGAAGAAGCGACGGCUAAAUACGUGCCAGCGCCGCGGUAAUACGUAUGUCGCAAGCGUUAUCCGGAAUUAUUGGGCGUAAAGCGAGUCUAGGCGGCUUGUUAAGUCAGAUGUGAAAAUGCGGGGCUCAACUCCGUAUUGCGUUUGAAACUGGCAGGCUAGAGUACUGGAGAGGUGGGCGGAACUACAAGUGUAGAGGUGAAAUUCGUAGAUAUUUGUAGGAAUGCCGAUAGUGAAGACAGCUCACUGGACAGAUACUGACGCUAAAGCUCGAAAGCGUGGGGAGCGAAAGGAUUAGAUACCCUGGUAGUCCACGCCGUAAACGAUGUUCACUGGGUGUAGGGGGUCGAACCUCUGUGCCGAAGCUAACGCGAUAAGUGAACCGCCUGGGGAGUACGCACGCAAGUGUGAAACUCAAAGGAAUUGACGGGGACCCGCACAAGCGGUGGAGCAUGUGGUUUAAUUCGACGCAACGCGAGGAACCUUACCAGCACUUGACAUACAACGAACUCGUCAGAGAUGACUUGGUGCCGCUUCGGUGGAACGUUAUACAGGUGGUGCAUGGCUGUCGUCAGCUCGUGUCGUGAGAUGUUGGGUUAAGUCCCGCAACGAGCGCAACCCCUAUCGUAUGUUACCAUCAUUAAGUUGGGGACUCAUGCGAGACUGCCUGCGACGAGCAGGAGGAAGGUGGGGAUGACGUCAAGUCAUCAUGCCCCUUAUGUGCUGGGCUACACACGUGCUACAAUGGUUGGUACAGAGAGCAGCAAUACCGCGAGGUGGAGCAAAUCUCAGAAAGCCAAUCUUAGUCGGAUCGCAGUCUGCAACUCGACUGCGUGAAGUUGGAAUCGCUAGUAAUCGCAAAUCAGCAAUGUUGCGGUGAAUACGUUCUCGGGUCUUGUACACUCCGCCCGUCACACCAUGGGAGCUGGUAAUGCCCGAAGCCGGAUAGAUAACUUCGGAGUCUACUGUCUAAGGCAGGACCGGUGACUAGGGUG
Molecule: ribosomal RNA, 1432 nt
Filed under: uncultured bacterium
Lineage: Bacteria
Description: bacterial SSU rRNA
Rfam family: Bacterial small subunit ribosomal RNA
Source: RNAcentral